This 446-nucleotide ribosomal RNA is filed under the name uncultured bacterium. RNAcentral's name for it is "partial 16S ribosomal RNA". It matches the Rfam family "Bacterial small subunit ribosomal RNA", at positions 338 to 795 of the family's 1533-position model. The record is from RNAcentral.
CCUACGGGUGGCAGCAGUCGAGAAUCAUUCACAAUGGGGGAAACCCUGAUGCUGCGACGCCGCGUGGGGGAAUGAAGGUCUUCGGAUUGUAAACCCCUGUCAUGUGGGAGCAAAUUAAAAAGAUAGUACAACAAGAGGAAGAGACGGCCAACUCUGUGCCAGCAGCCGCGGUAAUACAGAGGUCUCAAGCGUUGUUCGGAAUCACUGGGCGUAAAGCGUGCGUAGGCUGUUUCGUAAGUCGUGUGUGAAAGGCGAGGGCUCAACCCGCGGACGGCACAUGAUACUGCUAGACUAGAGUAAUGGAGGGGGAACCGGAAUUCUCGGUGUAGCAGUGAAAUGCGUAGAUAUCGAGAGGAACACUCGUGGCGAAGGCGGGUUCCUGGACAUUAACUGACGCUGAGGCACGAAGGCCAGGGGAGCGAAAGGGAUUAGAUACCCCAGUAGUC